UGGGGAAUAUUGGACAAUGGGCGAAAGCCUGAUCCAGCCAUGCCGCGUGUGUGAAGAAGGCCUUUUGGUUGUAAAGCACUUUAAGCGAGGAGGAGGCUACUUAGAUUAAUACUCUAGGAUAGUGGACGUUACUCGCAGAAUAAGCACCGGCUAACUCUGUGCCAGCAGCCGCGGUAAUACAGAGGGUGCGAGCGUUAAUCGGAUUUACUGGGCGUAAAGCGUGCGUAGGCGGCUUCUUAAGUCGGAUGUGAAAUCCCUGAGCUUAACUUAGGAAUUGCAUUGGAUACUGGGAAGCUAGAGUAUGGGAGAGGAUGGUAGAAUUCCAGGUGUAGCGGUGAAAUGCGUAGAGAUCUGGAGGAAUACCGAUGGCGAAGGCAGCCAUCUGGCCUAAUACUGACGCUGAGGUACGAAAGCAUGGGGAGCAAACAGG
This 430-nucleotide ribosomal RNA is filed under the name Acidobacteriota bacterium. RNAcentral's name for it is "Acidobacteria bacterium partial 16S ribosomal RNA". It matches the Rfam family "Bacterial small subunit ribosomal RNA", at positions 355 to 776 of the family's 1533-position model. Lineage: Bacteria; Pseudomonadati; Acidobacteriota. The record is from RNAcentral.